Molecule: ribosomal RNA, 387 nt
Filed under: Triticum aestivum (bread wheat)
Lineage: Eukaryota; Viridiplantae; Streptophyta; Magnoliopsida; Poales; Poaceae
Description: partial small subunit ribosomal RNA
Source: RNAcentral
AUGGAGAAGCUAAUGAACCCAAAGCUAAAUCAUUCAGAUCCUGCAAACCAACUAAUCUUACAGGAAAGUAAUGUUGGCUUCAGUUUAUUGAAUGCUUCCUUGGUCAAAAUGCCCGUAUUCAAGGAAAAACAAUGGAUUUUAAUCAUUGCUAACUUUAGAGCCAAAUUUUUUGUUAUCAUGAACCCGCACUACAGUGGUGAUACAUUUCUACCAACAAUUAGUGCUGUUAUCUACAACUUCAAGGUUUUGUUUGCUGCUACAUACGAAAAUUCUAGUUCUUUCAACAUAGGAAAUUUUCAAUCAAGAUUUGUACCAGCUCCCAAGGUCAAAUUCAGGUGGGUUUUCCAUGGAACUCUCCCCUUUUACAAGAUUUGUACCAGCCACUAG